RNAcentral lists this unclassified non-coding RNA (337 nucleotides) under soil metagenome. Its description in RNAcentral is "partial contains 5.8S ribosomal RNA, internal transcribed spacer 2, and large subunit ribosomal RNA". The stretch from base 1 to 120 matches the Rfam family "5.8S ribosomal RNA", at positions 35 to 154 of the family's 154-position model. The record is from RNAcentral.
GAUGAAGAACGUAGCGAAAUGCGAUAAGUAGUGUGAAUUGCAGAAUUCAGUGAAUCAUCGAAUCUUUGAACGCACAUUGCGCCCCAUGGUAUUCCGUGGGGCAUGCCUGUUCGAGCGUCAUUUACCCCCUCAAGCUCCGCUUGGUGUUGGGCGUCUGUCCCGCUUCGCGCGCGGACUCCCCCCAAAGGUAUUGGCAGCGGUCGUGCCAGCUUCUCGCGCAGCACAUUGCGCUUCUCGAGGCACCGGUGGGCCCGCGUCCAUCAAGCUCACCCCCCCAGUUUGACCUCGGAUCAGGUAGGGAUACCCGCUGAACUUAAGCAUAUCAAUAAGCGGAGGA